GCUUCACAAUAUAUUAGCGAUUUCUAAAAUUUUUUUUAGUAGCACAGAAUUAGGUAUUACAGAACUAUUUCAACUACUAUAUUAUACAACUAAAACGAAAGAUCCCGUAGUUUUAGUGUUUAAGGCAUGGCUCUGCGGUGCAAGCUUGUUUCCUUUUUUUUUAGGGUUCUUCCAAGUUUAUGUAAUGCGACCUUUAAGUAUAAGUUCUGAUCGAGUGCUUUUUUCUUCUUUUUUGGGGCUUCUAUCUCUUCUGACCUCAAGCUUAAUUUCGAGUUCAGUGUUUUCCUUAAUAUUAUAUGGGCCACGGUUAAGCUUGAGGGAUCAAGACUUCUUGAACUUCGUUCAAGACGAUUCGGAAAACAUAUUUAACUUAAAUUUUCUUAUUUUAAACUGUUCAACAAGUGUGCUGGUUUUUUAUCUUUUUGGAGGAAGAAUUCGGAGUGUUGUUCCAAGUAGCCUUUGCGCCCCGGGUUCCUUUGGAAAACGAUCUUUUUCAGUAAAAGCAACAAAAGGCAGCAGGUAUGCAACGAAAAUAGAAAGAGAGCUUAUCCAGAAAUAUGGAGAAAUACAAGGUUAUCAUAGUUGCGGAAACAAAGCGAAAUUUUAUGUGGCGGACCACCAGCCUCCGAACUCUAAAGCCCGUUGGUGGGAGGAGCAACGCUUUUAUCCGCAAUGCAGCCGGUGUUCUCUAAUUCAAGGAUUUAACCUGGGAAAGCUCGGUCCUUAUAAAAACAAAAACAUUUUUCAGCGCCUCUGCGCCCGCCUUUUAUCUAAAAUUACAACCAACGGACAGCACAUUGACUACUAUCAAAAGAUAACGAAGCGGAAUAUAAUCACACACUCUAAAGUGCUUCGAUUAUACCAUAUGUGGCUUCCAGUGCCCAUCUUAUAUAUAUACUUUAAAAUGAAGU
Long non-coding RNA from Zophobas morio, 911 nucleotides. RefSeq lists it as uncharacterized. The transcript is spliced from 9 exons. The record is from RefSeq and is a predicted model, not a curated record. NCBI's taxonomy places the organism in Eukaryota, Metazoa, Arthropoda, Insecta, Coleoptera, Tenebrionidae.